CCCGCAUCCGCCACCCGCGCCGCCGUACGCCCCAUCCCCGAUCUUCGCCGCCGCGCCCGCGACCCCCAUCCCACGCUGCCACCCAUCCCCACCGACGCCGCCACACUAGUAUCCCCCACCAACGCCGCCGCCCCAUCCCUAUUCAGGCGGCCGCAGCAACAACCCCGCGGACACACCUACCACCUACGGGCCCCCUGUUUCGCCCCUCACACAGCAGCACCGCAUCUCCUCAGUGCCUGCUCCAUACUGCGUAUCACAUCCUCUCCAUUUGCACUCCCCACAAAUCAGUGGGAGGACGUGCCCAUCUGAAGCAGCAGUAGUAGCAGAACAAGUAGCUACUGCACCGCUUACCUCUGUUUGUGCUCCCCCAGUUUCUGAAGAGGUAUGCAUUUAGAAGUUUCAGUUGUGUGGUUUCGAAUUUUGAACCAUGUUUUGUUGUGCUGUGACAUCCAAGGAUUUUUAGUUCUUCUAAGGUAGUAAAUUUGGCUGGGAGCUAUGAAUCUAAUAGAUGAUGGUAAGGAACAAUGUGUGAUAAGUUAAUACGACAGUCAUGAGAUAAAGGAUAUUUCUUUUGCUGGGAAUCCAAGUGGCUAUAUUCGUUCAUAUUUUUGCUUUUAUGCAAAUGUUCUUAAGUACUCUGAAUAUAGCAUGAUUUGACUAGAUAGGAUCUCUAUUGUUUCUCACACAUAUUUUUAAUUAAUACAUAGAUUGAUAUUUUAGCUAGAGUACAAGAUACCAUUUUACAAAUCCGUUCGAGUUAGUAAUUCAUUUGUAUUAUGUCUAGAUGAUCUCAGUUUUUUUUCUAAGACCUAUUUUUAGUUUAACAGAUAGAUUGAUAAUUUUAAACAAGGUCUUCACGAAUAACAUUUUACUGUUGAUGUUCAGGUCUAGGUUCGCAAGUGGAGGAGGGAUCCAACUUGCAGCCAUAAAUAAUCGAACAAGUACCACUUCAUGGUUAUGGUGAGAUUCUUGAUCCUAGUUGAAGAGUUAAAUUGGUACUUCCAUCGCGUGGUAUCAUUUGACUACAUUUGGAAUAUCUCGUAAUUUUUUUUCAAUCAUUGCAUGAUUGUAUCAUAUGGUGGUAAAAUAUAUUAUGGUGUGAUAAUGGAAAUUCUGGAAUUGGACUAUCACCACAAAGGAUAUAUUGCUCUUUUGAAUGUGAUUGGUUUCACAACCGUAUACACGACAAGUGGGUAAAGAUGCACUAUUGCUAAUUCCGUCUUUUAUAUUGAAGUGUUCCUUCAGAGUACCUCUUUGUUCUUCUAUUUCAGAUUGCAUAACACUUGUACUAAUCCUGAGAUCAUACUUCUUUUCAUGAAAAGAAUGGCAAACAGAGGAGGAUGAGCUGAUGCUGUUAUGCAUGAAGAUUUGCAAAUAGGGAAUGUAAGACAUGUCACAGAAAGGUUGCAUGAAUUCAUUCCAAGUCUUGCGUGGACAAAACAACAAGACAAAGGUGACGGCGGCCUUUGUGUGUUGAUACAUCUUUGCAGAUGUAUGAAGCUAUUUAACAACAAGUUGUGCUUAUCUGUAGGAAAGGCAACACAUCUAAUCAGUCAGCUGUCAAAAUGCCUAGAUGCCGACUAAGAUCUGAGAUCAUAUCACUUACAAAGCAUGACUGGAGGACAUGGCUGCUGAAAACCUGAAUGAUCAUGUGGUACACUUUUCUCACAUUAAAAUGUAUGUAGGUUUCUGAAAUUUGCAAUGUAUUUGACAAUCUUAUAUAUGCAGAUAGAAGUUGAUAGUAAAGUAUGCAGAAGCAACCAUCACAACCGGAAGCAGUCCCCGCAUCUACGAGGUAUUACAUAUUCUUAGAAUUCUGUAAUAUUAGACUAAAGACAAGUUAAUUUUGUUUUCAUUAUCCUCUGGACAAUGCGUAUACGAGCUAGCUCUUCCAAAAUUUAUAUCUUCUGGAUCCCUCGUAUGUUAGGGUCUUGUGGAUGCUACUUUUCUUUAUCUAUAAAGCAGGGUUAUGGCCUGAUUUCUUAAACCAUCAAUAAAAGAGAUCAAGAGAUGCAUAUAUACCAUGGAUGUUGCAACGAUUUACCUUCCUGUAGGCAGCAUUUAACCUGAUUUGCUUGUUCCUGAAACACUCAGGUAAAGGGUUAUCAGAUAUAGAAAUACUUGUAAUAUAAGAAAAAUGAAUAUCCAUGUCCAUCUUUAAUGUUAUCCCAAAAUCUUUGGUGCAAUUAUUCUCUAACUUAUUUCAUAUAUAAAAUUUUCUCUCAUGGUUUAACAAUACUACAUCCAUUUGAGCAUACUAAGAUUCUCUAACCAUGAAAUAUAUUCAGCAAAAAAGGUGGAGCACUUAUCAAAUGAUAUAUUCAUGCUUUAUUGUUUUGUAGUGAAAGAAUAUCUCUUUUGAUAUAUCUCUCCUUUCAAGUAACACAAAACAGUCAGAAACAGUGAUCGACUUGACCAACAUUCUUUUAUUUUGAACAACCUAUAUUCAUUUCAGCAAAUAAUGAUUUAUGGGUGUAUAAAUUUUUUUCUUUUGUUCAAUCACAUUUUUUCCUGAAACCAAGAAGCAGAUAAAAUCAAAGGGUUGUUCAGUUGUUAUACAUUCUCAUAACUAUUGAUUCACACUGUCUAGCAUUAGCACACACUACACAGAACAAACAUGUACAGAAAAACUGAAUGGAGGACACCCUGCAUUGCCACUGGAUUGCUAGUAACUAAUCCUUACCUGCAGUUUUUGGAUGUUCUAUUUACUUCACAGCAAUCAAGAGAAAGUAAUACACCAAAAGAAGAUGACUAUCCGUAAAUAUUUAUAGUGAUAGGUUAUAUCGAUCUUCCUAAUGAUCCAUACAUAUUGCAUGAGUACACACACAUUCUGUUUGUGCCUUGUGCAACGCAAAGUACAGGGCGACACACAUGUUCUUUUCAUUUGAAAUUUUUCUUUUUCUGCCCAUGCUACUUCUACGUUUGGAACAUAUGUUCGUCCGAGCUGAUUUUUUAAUCCAUUUCCUUUUUUGACAGGUCACAGUAUAAUUUCCUUUGCAUCCACAAGUUUCUAGAGGUGUGGUUGUUGAGCUAAAAGGAUCUUCUGCUAGGAUAUUUUUCACUUUUGUCUACGAUGUACUGUAAUACUUAUGAAUCUACAAAUCUAUGUAUGUGUGCAUCUAGACUUGAUAAAUGGUUGUGCUUUUGGCUGUCCUGUUACUGGACUUGUAUGCCCAUGUGUGCAUCUAGGCACGCAUGAUGAAUCUUCUUUGUGCUUUUGGCUAUCCUGCAAUACUGGACUUAUGAACCUACGUAUGCAUGAUGUAGACUUGUGAACUUAUGUAUGGAUGAUGGAUUGCUUAUAUCUAUGCCCAUGUUGUUAUAUAUAUAUUACUGUAUGCAUGUGUGUUAUAUAUAGAUGGCACAAAAUGCAGUGAAGAUAAAUGAUAGCUGUUGGAAUACAUGUAUACAUAUAGGAGAUUAGUGCGUUUGUAGUAGAUGGCAAGUUUUAUUUUUUUGGUUUGUUUUUUCUUUUCGGAUGGCAAUUUUAGUUGUAAAAAAG
RNAcentral lists this long non-coding RNA (3502 nucleotides) under Triticum aestivum (bread wheat). Its description in RNAcentral is "long non-coding RNA (TAES_LNC018484)". Lineage: Eukaryota; Viridiplantae; Streptophyta; Magnoliopsida; Poales; Poaceae. The record is from RNAcentral.